Molecule: ribosomal RNA, 353 nt
Filed under: uncultured bacterium
Lineage: Bacteria
Description: bacterial SSU rRNA
Rfam family: Bacterial small subunit ribosomal RNA
Source: RNAcentral
AUGGCUGUCGUCAGCUCGUGCCGUGAGGUGUUGGGUUAAGUCCCUUAACGAGCGCAACCCCUAUCUUUAGUUGCCAGCACUUUCAGGUGGGCACUCUAAAGAAACUGCCUACGUAAGUAGAGAGGAGGGAGGGGAUGACGUCAAGUCAUCAUGGCCCUUAUGCCCGGGGCUACACACAUGCUACAAUGGUGGGUACAAAGGGAAGCCACUUGGCAACAAGGAGCUAAUCCCGAAAGCCCAUCACAGUUCGGAUUGGAGUCUGCAACUCGACUCCAUGAAGCUGGAUUCGCUAGUAAUCGUGGAUCAGCAACGUCACGGUGAAUACGUUCCCGGGCCUUGUACACACCGCCCGU